UGAGAAACUGCUGCCCCACGUGAUUACCUGUAUGAAGCAGCCCCUGAGCUUGCAGAAGGGCUGGAGACUGGACCCUCUUUACAAUGAGGUGACAGACAAAAGUAAACCUCUGGGUGCCCUACUUAGUUUACUUCCUAAAGGGCUCCUUUACUUUCCAAGACUAAAGAAACCCACCUCCAUGCCCACACCACUCCCUCCCCACUGAACAAAUGUCUAUGCACCCUUCGAAGAAGAAACAGGGGUCACAGCACUGAGGAGGUUAUUACAUUCUACAAUCUCACCAUCCCCUUCUGGACUGAAGGAUGGGAUAUGGCCUAUGAGAUACAACAGGCACUUGCUUAACUAAGCCGUGACCACGUCACCCGUCCAGAUCCCAGCUCACAUUUACUGCACGGAAAUCAACGGAUUCCUUCAGCUUCCAGCAGGGCAAACUUCUUCCAGAGACAAACGGGAACGUCCAAGAGAAACAAUUGUUCUGCCAAGUAACAAGACAGGGAUGCAACGGAGAAGCCUCGGUUUUUCCUCAAACAUUCUGCAUUCUCUUGAGUAUGUAUAGCUGGAAGCCCACAGAGGCGAGAAGGAAGCUGGCAUGGUGGCAGACGCCUGUAAUAGCAGCACUCAGGAGUCCGAGGCUGGGGGCGGGGUAGCUUUGAGGAAAGGUUGGUCUACAUAGGGAGAUCCUGUCACACAACAACGUGGCAAAAUAAAGCAACGCUAAGUUACG
Molecule: long non-coding RNA, 724 nt
Organism: Mesocricetus auratus (golden hamster)
Lineage: Eukaryota; Metazoa; Chordata; Mammalia; Rodentia; Cricetidae
Exons: 3
Source: RefSeq, a predicted model, not a curated record